AUAACCAUGGUGUGGGCAUUGUAGUAAAAGUGAUUUGAAGUGGUCCUAUGCUUCGUGAAAGGAUUCAGUAUCCUUUUAAUAAAAAUUGAAAAUCUCAAUCCUUAAUUCU
RNAcentral lists this small nucleolar RNA (109 nucleotides) under Ricinus communis (castor bean). Its description in RNAcentral is "Plant small nucleolar RNA R71". It matches the Rfam family "Plant small nucleolar RNA R71". From Rfam's summary of the family: R71 is a member of the C/D box family of snoRNAs containing the C (UGAUGA) and D (CUGA) box motifs. Lineage: Eukaryota; Viridiplantae; Streptophyta; Magnoliopsida; Malpighiales; Euphorbiaceae. The record is from Rfam by way of RNAcentral.